Molecule: ribosomal RNA, 252 nt
Filed under: uncultured bacterium
Lineage: Bacteria
Description: partial 16S ribosomal RNA
Rfam family: Bacterial small subunit ribosomal RNA
Source: RNAcentral
UACGUAGGGUGCGAGCGUUGUCCGGAAUUAUUGGGCGUAAAGGGCUCGUAGGCGGUCUGUCGCGUCGGUAGUGAAAACUCAGGGCUUAACCCUGAGCCUGCUUCCGAUACGGGCAGACUAGAGGUAUGCAGGGGGAAUGGAAUUCCUGGUGUAGCGGUGAAAUGCGCAGAUAUCAGGAGGAACACCGGUGGCGAAGGCGGUUCUCUGGGCAUUACCUGACGCUGAGGAGCGAAAGUGUGGGGAGCGAACAGG